RNAcentral lists this long non-coding RNA (202 nucleotides) under Manihot esculenta (cassava). RNAcentral's name for it is "long non-coding RNA (MESC_LNC001515)". The record is from RNAcentral. Lineage: Eukaryota; Viridiplantae; Streptophyta; Magnoliopsida; Malpighiales; Euphorbiaceae.
CCUACAUCGAGUAUCAAAAUCUAUAUAAUUUGUAGUAUAAUACUGCUAGAUUUGUAGAUAACAUAUCAUACUUUUAUACUAACUAUGAUUUCUACCAAUUUACUAGGGUGAAGAAUUACCAUUUAUUAUUCUUUCCUUAUUAAUAUGCUUAUAUUAGUCAAUGACAUAUGUUUCAUAUUCAGUUAAACAAUAAUAUUGUAAC